ACGGGGCGCAGCAGGCGCGAAAACUUCACACUGGAGGCAACUCCGAUGAGGGAAUUCCUAGUGCUAGCACAUUAGUGUUAGCUUUUCUUAAGCGUAGAUAACUUAAGGAAUAAGGGCUGGGUAAGACGGGUGCCAGCCGCCGCGGUAAUACCCGCAGCCCAAGUGGUGGUCGAUUUUAUUGAGUCUAAAACGUUCGUAGCCGGUUUGGUAAAUCCUUGGGUAAAUCGAGAGGCUUAACUUUUCGAAUUCCGAGGAGACUGCCAAACUUGGGACCGGGAGAGGCGAGAGGUACUUCUGGGGUAGGGGUAAAAUCCUGUAAUCCUAGAAGGACCACCGGUGGCGAAGGCGUCUCGCUAGAACGGAUCCGACGGUGAGGGACGAAGCUCUGGGUCGCAAACGGGAUUAGAUACCCCGGUAGUCCAGGGUGUAAACGCUGCAGACUUGGGUGUUGGGGGCCCUACGGGGGCGUUCAGUGCCGGAGAGAAAUUUGUUAAGUCUGCUAACUUGGGGAGUACGUCCGCAACGGGUUGAAACUCAAAGGAAUUGGCGGGGGGAGCCC
RNAcentral lists this ribosomal RNA (559 nucleotides) under uncultured archaeon. RNAcentral describes it as "bacterial SSU rRNA". It matches the Rfam family "Archaeal small subunit ribosomal RNA", at positions 325 to 880 of the family's 1478-position model. The record is from RNAcentral.